Molecule: long non-coding RNA, 290 nt
Filed under: Arabidopsis lyrata
Lineage: Eukaryota; Viridiplantae; Streptophyta; Magnoliopsida; Brassicales; Brassicaceae
Description: long non-coding RNA (ALYR_LNC003367)
Source: RNAcentral
UCUUUUCCCAUUGGUGUGCCUUGUCUCCCAGUGAGAAGGGAAACAGGCGCAGCUUGAAACUAUCCUCACUAACACCGUUUAUCUUGGUUAGGCCGCAGAGCCUGUCGAAGUUAUCCAAGUGGUCUAAAGGAUCUUCCAGAGGCAGACCAUGGAACUUGUUUCCCUGAAUCAUCGAGAUGAGACCACUUUUAAUCUCGAAGUUGUUGUUUUGGACAGCAGGAGGCACAAUUCCUUGCCUCUGAUGGUGGUUUCUUGGUGCAUCUCCAGCACCAAUGUUUGCAGGCAGAUUG